AUACUUGUUUUAGUAGCAUAUAUACUAAAAGUGGAAUGACAUAGAGAUUAGUAUUGCCCUUGGACAAGCAUUUCUCACAAAUUGAUGAGGUGUUCUACACCUUU
This is a small nuclear RNA of Heterocephalus glaber (naked mole-rat), 104 nucleotides long. NCBI's taxonomy places the organism in Eukaryota, Metazoa, Chordata, Mammalia, Rodentia, Bathyergidae. The record is from Ensembl.